RNAcentral lists this ribosomal RNA (292 nucleotides) under uncultured bacterium. RNAcentral describes it as "partial 16S ribosomal RNA". The record is from RNAcentral.
GGACUACAAGGGUUUCUAAUCCUGUUUGAUCCCCACGCUGUCGCGCCUGAGCGUCAGUAAUGAGCCAGUGAGCCGCCUUCGCCACCGGUGUUCUUCCCAAUAUCUACGAAUUUCACCUCUACACUGGGAAUUCCACUCACCUCUCUCAUACUCAAGUCCAACAGUUUCAAUGGCAGUUCCGGAGUUGAGCUCCGGGCUUUCACCACUGACUUGGAAGACCGCCUGCGCGCGCUUUACGCCCAGUAAUUCCGAACAACGCUAGCCCCCUUCGUAUUACCGCGGCUGCUGGCAC